AUGGCUGCAUGAUGAAUAAAAUCAAAUUAUCAUCUUUCCACUGAACUCCUGAUGGAUUUGAGUUUUUCUGAUAGUCUG
This is a small nucleolar RNA of Jaculus jaculus (lesser Egyptian jerboa), 78 nucleotides long. The record is from Ensembl. Lineage: Eukaryota; Metazoa; Chordata; Mammalia; Rodentia; Dipodidae.